Long non-coding RNA from Leopardus geoffroyi (Geoffroy's cat), 270 nucleotides. RefSeq lists it as uncharacterized. The transcript has 2 exons. The record is from RefSeq and is a predicted model, not a curated record. NCBI's taxonomy places the organism in Eukaryota, Metazoa, Chordata, Mammalia, Carnivora, Felidae.
UCGUGACCUGAACCGAAGUUGGAUGCUUCACCGACCGAGCCACCCAGUAAACACCGACAACCAGCCUUUCACAGAGCUUUUAAACGGAAAAAUAUCAAGCCUUGUCGUCCAGACCAUGACAUCGGGUUGAGGGCGAGGGCAGGCGAGCCGUGAGCCCCGCAGAGCAGGGCCGAACAGCAGCUCUUUGUCAAGCCGCCCUUCACAGCCCGCCGAGGCCUCGGGCACAGGCCCCCCCGGACCUGUGCCGCUAACUGUGCGCCCGCCCCCCCC